GACGAACGCUGGCGGCGUGCCUAAUACAUGCGAGUAGAACGCUGAAGGAGGAGCUUGCUUCUCUGGAUGAGUCGCGAACGGGUGAGUAACGCGUAGGUAACCUGCCUGGUAGCGGGGGAUAACUAUUGGAAACGAUAGCUAAUACCGCAUAAGAGUAGAUGUCGCAUGACAUUUGCUUAAAAGGUGCAAUUGCAUCACUACCAGAUGGACCUGCGUUGUAUUAGCUAGUUGGUGAGGUAACGGCUCACCAAGGCAACGAUACAUAGCCGACCUGAGAGGGUGAUCGGCCACACUGGGACUGAGACACGGCCCAGACUCCUACGGGAGGCAGCAGUAGGGAAUCUUCGGCAAUGGACGGAAGUCUGACCGAGCAACGCCGCGUGAGUGAAGAAGGUUUUCGGAUCGUAAAGCUCUGUUGUAAGAGAAGAACGAGUGUGAGAGUGGAAAGUUCACACUGUGACGGUAUCUUACCAGAAAGGGACGGCUAACUACGUG
This 495-nucleotide ribosomal RNA is filed under the name uncultured bacterium. Its description in RNAcentral is "partial 16S ribosomal RNA". It matches the Rfam family "Bacterial small subunit ribosomal RNA", at positions 28 to 507 of the family's 1533-position model. The record is from RNAcentral.